RNAcentral lists this ribosomal RNA (201 nucleotides) under uncultured bacterium. Its description in RNAcentral is "partial 16S ribosomal RNA". It matches the Rfam family "Bacterial small subunit ribosomal RNA", at positions 1300 to 1500 of the family's 1533-position model. The record is from RNAcentral.
GUAGUCUGCAACCCGACUACAUGAAGCUGGAAUCGCUAGUAAUCGCGAAUCAGAAUGUCGCGGUGAAUACGUUCCCGGGUCUUGUACACACCGCCCGUCACACCAUGGGAGUCGGAAAUGCCCGAAGUCAGUGACCCAACCGUAAGGAGGGAGCUGCCGAAGGUGGAGCCGGUAACUGGGGUGAAGUCGUAACAAGGUAUC